This 468-nucleotide ribosomal RNA is filed under the name uncultured bacterium. RNAcentral describes it as "partial 16S ribosomal RNA". It matches the Rfam family "Bacterial small subunit ribosomal RNA", at positions 28 to 507 of the family's 1533-position model. The record is from RNAcentral.
GACGAACGCUGGCGGCGUGCUUAACACAUGCAAGUCGAACGGAAAGGCCCUGCUUUUGUGGGGCGCUCGAGUGGCGAACGGGUGAGUAACACGUGAGUAACCUGCCCUUGACUUUGGGAUAACUUCAGGAAACUGGGGCUAAUACCGGAUAGGAGCUCCUGCUGCAUGGUGGGGGUUGGAAGGUUUCGGCGGUUGGGGAUGGACUCGCGGCUUAUCAGCUUGUUGGUGGGGUAGUGGCUUACCAAGGCUUUGACGGGUAGCCGGCCUGAGAGGGUGACCGGCCACAUUGGGACUGAGAUACGGCCCAGACUCCUACGGGAGGCAGCAGUGGGGAAUAUUGCACAAUGGGCGGAAGCCUGAUGCAGCAACGCCGCGUGCGGGAUGACGGCCUUCGGGUUGUAAACCGCUUUCGCCUGUGACGAAGCGUGAGUGACGGUAAUGGGUAAAGAAGCACCGGCUAACUACGUG